GCCUUCGUGGUGUAAUGGUCAGCACACUGAGCUGGUAUUUCAGAGGUCCGCGGUUCGAUUCCCGGCGAAGGCG
Stegodyphus mimosarum is the source of this 73-nucleotide non-coding RNA. Lineage: Eukaryota; Metazoa; Arthropoda; Arachnida; Araneae; Eresidae. The record is from Rfam.